GGGGAAGGAAUGUAGCUCAGUGGUAGAGCACCUAAUCUGCCUUGCGUGCAAGAGGUCCUUUGUUCAAUCCCCAGCAUCUCCA
Podarcis lilfordi (Lilford's wall lizard) is the source of this 82-nucleotide non-coding RNA. The record is from the annotation of a GenBank genome assembly. NCBI's taxonomy places the organism in Eukaryota, Metazoa, Chordata, Lepidosauria, Squamata, Lacertidae.